RNAcentral lists this non-coding RNA (21 nucleotides) under Caenorhabditis elegans. Lineage: Eukaryota; Metazoa; Nematoda; Chromadorea; Rhabditida; Rhabditidae. The record is from RNAcentral.
UAAAUUUAGUGAUAUGUAAAA